CACACACACACUACCACACAUGCAUGACACACACACACACAGUAACAUACAUGCAUUACACCUGAGAGUAUGAGAGCAAACAAAAGCUUCUGCAGACACACAGGAACAUCAAGUGCAGAACAGCCCGACAGCACGACUCCACUACAGCAGGAGAUGGUCUCAGCUCAGUGCUCUGCAUCGUGAGUGCUGCUGGAAGAAGCUGCCGGUGCUUUGGGAGACGUGCAGAGAGAUUGCCCAUAAAAUCUCCUUCCGCCUCGGGGUUCUCCUCAGCGGAACAUGUGACCACAACUCCACAGUGGGUUCAGACACAUUCGAGAACUACAGCCUCCCUCCGGAACCCUCUCCCCUCGCCCUCUGCUCCACAGGAAGUACCCCCCCGACCUCCAAAUCCCACGCUGGAAGUGGAAUUCACCCAGCGCAGACCAGGGCUUCAGUUCAUUAGACUCACGGCAUCGACACAACUACAACAGCAUAGGUGGUGAACACGCACACACACACCACAGUGAAGUACACACAGUGAAAUCCUAUUAGUGUAGUGAAGCAAACAAAAUACUUAAUACUGUUACUAGGUCUUGUCGUAUCCUCAAAUAUCAAAUCAACAACCCCAACCUUUCAAAUUUAGAGCCUGGGACGAAUAAAAUAAGGGAUUUGCAUCUCUGACCUGCCAUUUAAAAACCCUUCUGAUAAGACCUGGUUAAUUGCCCACAUUUGACUCCUCAAACAGCCUAGUCUUCACCGGCAGUGGUAAACUUAAUGAGCCAGAAGAGGCUUUUUCUUUCCAGACCGCAAACAAUUGAACACAUGGAUGUUUUCUAGUUCCUCUCAAAGAACUAGCAUUUCCAACACUUUGGGUGAAGCAGGACUUAACUCUUGGUUCUCCAGUCAGUCAUUUGCAGUAUUAUGCACUGCAUGUCAGGGACGGAGGGAUGAAAAAGAAAAAUGAAGAGAGUGGGAGGGAGGAGAAGACAAGGAAGGGGUGAGAGGCGUGAGAGAAGAGAGAUGUAUGGCAUGGAAGACAGCGGUAGAAGACUGAAUCAUGUAUGUGUGUGUAUGGUGUGUAAGAGUGUGUGUAUGUGUGUGCGUGGGCAUCCGUAGAUGUGAUUUCCAGAGUGUGUAUGACCCCAUCGCUCAGAGUUAACGAGGCAGGGGCGAGGGAGCGUGAGCGAGGCGAGGCAGGUCAGCCUAGAGAGAGGCCCCCCGAGCAGACGGAGCAGAUAGCUCACGUCUUUAUCAGCCGAGGACGCAAGCGCUGAGUCGUGAUGGACGAUUCCUCGUUGAAGCCCAACGUUAUUGGCUUUCCAUGAAAAGUGUCCCGGAUGGAACAACAUGAAAAGCCAGCGUCAAACAGGAAGCUGUCAGCUUAUGGGCUGGAAGUAGAGUAUCUGGGUCUAGGACAGUAUGGAUAGCAUUAUGUAUAAAGUAUAGCAGCAUAUGCUGAAGAAUGAGGAUAGCUGACAUGUUGUGUCCAGAUGAUGAGGGACUGUGUCUGAGGAGACAGACAAGGAGGAGACAAAGACAGACACUGACUCAGAGUAGAGCAGAGUAGAGUGGAAUAGAGCAGAGCAGAGUUCAGUAGAAUAGAGUAGAACAGAAACAGAAUAGAUUAGAGUAAAGUAGAGCAGAGUACAGGAAAGUAGAAUAAAUACAGAAUAGUAUACAGUAGAGCAGAGUACAGUAGAGUAGAAUAGAGACAGAGUAGUAGAGUAGAGCAGAGUAGCCAUAGAGCAAACAGAGUGGAGUAGAGCACAGUAAACAGAGCAGAACCGAGCAGAACACAGUAGAAUGUAGCAGAACAGGGAAGAACACAGAGAAGGAAUUUGACAUUCCAGGCUUUGUCACUGCUGCUAGUCUGUGUCUCUGUUCCUCUUUUGUUGAAAGUGGGUUGCCCAUAGAUAGAAAUGGGGUGCAUUAUGGGAAAGCAGGGAGGAAUCCGAUGACAGGAGACAUUCUGUGAUUCUGACGAGCGUCGACUGGACCUGUCAUAACCCCUCGUCCUUACACAACCAGGCAGCAGAGGUGCAAGGCAGGAUGCUAGUGUUGGACUGAUGCCACAGCUCCACCCCAACCACUCAGCUCCUUAGUCAGCACUGGAGCCAUGACAAGUCUGAUGACUGAUUCACCUACAGUGGCUUUGCCUUCCUGUAACUCAGUCAGACAAAAGGGCAGGUCCAUAUUUUGUCCAUUUGCCUGCAGAGGGUGGACUAAUGGACAACUAAGGAUCCGAGUUCAGUGGUUAAAGCAUUUGACAGCAGAUCAAGAGGUUUCAGGUUCAAAUCCCCCUCUGCUAAAUGAAUACAUUCCACACACACACACACACGUGAAAUGGAGUAGGGCGCUGUUUUUUGGUGUACCCAGCCCUUGUCUGCCUUUCUGGGCUCCCCAUGCCUGGGGAUGGAUGUGAUGAACUUUCAUCCAGACAUUAACUGAAUGGAUUGUGAAUUCAAUUAACCUUAUCUGCACCUUGGCACAACCCGAGCAGAGGAAUGUUGGGGGUGGGCAUGUAUGUAGGGAGGGGUGGGUGGGUGUAGUCUGUGGUAUGGAGGUGGGGUUUACCCACAGUAAAAGUGAAGGUACGGCUCCCUUCCUUAUAAGGACAAGCCUGGACAAAUUAGCCCCAGUGGUAAACACCUGCACUCCACCUCCGGCAACGACAACACUGGAGAAUGGAGAACAGAGUGGUGUGAGAUGAAAGACAGAUAUGACGAGAGAGAAAGAAAAAAAGAGAGACAGAGAUACGGGACGGAGCAAAGGACAAAAAUGAGGUGCUAUCAAAACAUCAUAGUCAUCCACAGACAACCUGCCACAUUGCUUGGCACUUCACAAGUCUGCUCACAGGAACAGAAUUCAUACAGGAAAUAAGCCUUGGUUUUCCAAAAUGAUGAUGAUAACUAAUUGCUGCAGAUGAAAAGAAACACAUACCGUGACUUUGUAACAGUCAUUUGGCUUUGGAAAGACAGUAAGAUUCCUGAGAUAAGAGGCUCUGAGUGCCUCUACACUUCACAGUCACAAGUCAAGUUAAGACUUGAAUGAGGCUUGUCGAAAAGUGCAUUUCUUCCAGCUCUGCCAGUUCACCCAGCGCCUCAAGUUCCAGUCAAGAAACAGGUACAAAUACCUCAUUGAAAGGUGCUAGUUUCGCAUCUAAACGUUAAAUGGUUCUUUGUGGAUUUGCGGACAGGGUGAGUUCAUCUUUCGUAAGGAAGUAGGGGUUUGAUGAAGCCUGGAGAAAGCAGCGCGGGGUAAUGUGUGUGGGCUAGUCAAAUAGGCUUCCCCCGGGGCCUAGCACAUGCCAGCCACGAACAGCCCUCCCUUAUUCCCUGCUUCCACCCCAUACUUAUCUUUGUGUCUAGUCAGAGCUCAACACAACCUACUUAUCUAUACUUCUUUGCCCAGAUACACAUGAUACAAUUCUGGAUCUGGUUGAAAACAUGUGACCGCCCCCCCCUUUCCCCUCCCCAUCUCUCUCUCACACACAGUGUGUUUAUCAGGGGAAACAACAUGGUAUUGUCAUUAACAACAUCGUUAUCAGAUAAUCCAACAGCGCAAGAACAGCACGGUUUCUGAAUGAUGUCUCUAGGUAAGUCCCCCUGACUUAGAGGAGUCGAUAAUUAUUCACUCAUGAUGUAGGACCUGACAUGCCUAAACGUUGCAUUUUUCGCUUUCACCGGUAGCAGUCUGGCGAUGACAUAAUUCAGGAAACUGGAAGCCGAAGCUUUCAAACUACAAAAAAGAAACUGGGAAAAAGUUUUCCAACUGCAGCGAGAGGGGCCGUUUAUGACCAUUUUUGGGCACGCUCGCUCCAAUGCAAGCCCAACCCAAACCACACUGCUCGCUCAGAUUCCCCAGAAUGUUCUUCCCCCAGUUCAAACUUCACUGAAGUGUGGGAGCGCAAGGGUACACAGAUGUGGCACCCGGUCUCCAAAUCGGACCCAAGUGACACCAUUACUGAAGCAUUUAUUCAAACACAUCAAAUUACACCAAAUCAGUUCACUUACAACUGUGCUGCCUUGUGAACGUGGGAGACCACCAGCAUCAUGGUUUCCUAGACAACGGUGACAUCAUCUACCCCAUUCUGACCACGGGACAGCUGGGGAAUCUGUAGCCGUCUGAUAGGGCGUGGCCUCCUUAUCUGAUGGGAAGACGUUAGUCCAUAUAUGGGCAUUCAGAACCUUACCAGACAUCAUUGUUUUGUUACUAAAAACUCCAGAGGAGUUCUUCACAAUUUUGAACUUCUGUGCAAUAGGAUGUAAGUGUUGCAAUAGUGUGACGAUUCAUAUCACUAACAGUUUCUCAUUUUGACAGGGGUUUCAAAAAUAAAUAAAAACGAUGGAUAUAAAAUGAAUUAAUUGAUCAACAAGAGCUCCCUGGGCGUUGGAGCCUCUUAACAUUAAAAUCUGUCAACAUUGUCUGUUCAGGGUCACGAUGCUGAAUGGAAUGGGCUUCUUCUUAGGAGAGUUGAAGCCUUGUUGCCAUGGUGAUUCAGUCUCGGUCCAUGGCCAAAUGAUAUGUUUUAGUCUUAUUAUGGAAAAACAGUUCACCCAAAAAACACAAUGUUAUUUUUACCCCUUAAGAUGAAAAUGGUUUAUUUCAUUGUUUGAUAAAAAAAAGAAAGUUUGUUGACACCAUCAUAUAAAUGUUGAAAUGAAAGGACUGUCCCCAACAUAUGCAGGGUUGUUUGAGUACAAAUUCUGAAUGCUAACCAUCCUGAUCCUAGCAUCAAUCAGAUCAUAGCAUCAUAGUAACAAUUCAUGUUAUCACUUGAAAACAGGUUAUCCUUUAUUGCAAGAAGCAAAAACAUGGCUGACUGGUGAUAUCCAUUUGUUGGAUAAAGAGGGAGGAAAAUAAACCUAUUGGUAAGUAGGGACACUGAACACAUAAUUAUAAUGCUAAAUUAAAAGCAGAUGGUGCACACCAAGAUCGCCAUGGAGACAGUCCUCACUCGAGCACCCUGAAGCAGUCAAAGAAUCGCUCUUGAAAAGGAAGGAUUCUCCAGUUCACUCUCAGCAACAAACUGAAUUUUAUAUUUCUAUCAAACCUUGAAACAGAAGUCUUGUCUCUGAACGUAUUUCCUUACCGAAAAAAGGAUAAAAACAUCUAUGCGUUUAUUUUUAAAGCAUACAAUCAAAAGAUUUAUGCACAAAACUUAAUGAUUUGCAAAUUCACUUACAAUAGCAUUAUUUUCAAUGUUAUUCUUUAGCUUGGAUUUGAGUUUGUUUAUGUUUAGCGUCAUCAGCGGUUCAACCUUAAGAAAGAUGACAACAUCCAAAGUAUGCAAAAAGAAA
Hypomesus transpacificus is the source of this 5279-nucleotide long non-coding RNA. RefSeq lists it as uncharacterized. Lineage: Eukaryota; Metazoa; Chordata; Actinopteri; Osmeriformes; Osmeridae. The record is from RefSeq and is a predicted model, not a curated record. The transcript is spliced from 2 exons.